Molecule: ribosomal RNA, 252 nt
Filed under: uncultured bacterium
Lineage: Bacteria
Description: partial 16S ribosomal RNA
Rfam family: Bacterial small subunit ribosomal RNA
Source: RNAcentral
UACGUAGGGUGCAAGCGUUAAUCGGAAUUACUGGGCGUAAAGCGUGCGCAGGCGGUGAUGUAAGACAGAUGUGAAAUCCCCGGGCUCAACCUGGGAACUGCAUUUGUGACUGCAUCGCUGGAGUGCGGCAGAGGGGGAUGGAAUUCCGCGUGUAGCAGUGAAAUGCGUAGAUAUGCGGAGGAACACCGAUGGCGAAGGCAAUCCCCUGGGCCUGCACUGACGCUCAUGCACGAAAGCGUGGGAGCAAACAGG